RNAcentral lists this ribosomal RNA (253 nucleotides) under uncultured bacterium. RNAcentral describes it as "partial 16S ribosomal RNA". It matches the Rfam family "Bacterial small subunit ribosomal RNA", at positions 524 to 776 of the family's 1533-position model. The record is from RNAcentral.
GACAGAGGUGCCGAGCGUUAGGCGGAAUCACUGGGCUUAAAGCGUGUGUAGGCGGGUCGUUAAGUGUCUUGUGAAAUCCCCCGGCUCAACCGGGGAAUGGCUGGGCAUAUUGGCGAUCUUGAGCAGUCUAGGGGCAGAUGGAACAAGUGGUGGAGCGGUGAAAUGCGUAGAUAUCACUUGGAACGCCAAAGGUGAAAACAGUCUGCUGGGGACUUGCUGACGCUGAGACACGAAAGCCAGGGGAGCGAACGGG